This 1785-nucleotide long non-coding RNA is filed under the name Triticum aestivum (bread wheat). RNAcentral describes it as "long non-coding RNA (TAES_LNC013791)". Lineage: Eukaryota; Viridiplantae; Streptophyta; Magnoliopsida; Poales; Poaceae. The record is from RNAcentral.
UCAUCUCAUGCCAACUAUUCUUGAUCAUAAUUAAAUAUUAACAUCAACAAUAUGCAAGAGCAUAGUGCAUUUAGUGCAUCAUUUUAUGUUUAUACAAUAUACAUGAUGAUCAAUCAAGUACCAUAUGUUAAGAACUGAAGCCUCUAUAACAUAAGUUGAAUUUGAAGAUUGCAGAAACUAUGAGAAGCAGAUGGAAUUGCAAAUAGUUUAUAAAAAAAUGAAAACAUAAGUAACAAAGAAGGCCACUUGUAUCUUCAAAUAGCACAGGUCCCUGCAAAUCUUCUAAAGCAUUGUGGCAUAUUGUUAAUCCAAAGGACACUAACAAAAUUCCAAGAACUAAAGGAAGUUGGUGUGGCUCACAUUUAGCUUUACUUGAAGAUAACAAAUCUGCUUAUGACCAGAUAAUAAAAUACCAGCAAGCUCAUCUAGCUGCAGCCAGCGAGGUCUGAAUGCCGAGUUCUCUAAAGAAAGAAUAGGAAAAUCCUUAGCGAUCUUGAAACUUUUCAGUUCAAAAAGACAUAGUAGUACAGUAGCAUUUUGAGCUAAAGAAAUCUUUAAAUAAAGAAAACUUGCAAUCUGGAAACUUUUCAGUUCAAGAAGGCAUAGUAGUAUAGUAACAUUUUGAGCUGAAGAAAUCUUUAAAUAAGGAAAACUUGCUUUGGUGAUGUCCUUGUGUAGGAAUUGCAAAUAAUAAUUCCAAAUUUUUAUUAUACUUUGAAAAAGGAAGCAUCCAUUAUUACAGCACGAAGAUAUGAGAAAACCAAGCCUAUAAGAAUCUAAUCUGUCAUUUACAACAUAGUAGUGGUACCUGAAAUUAAAAUGUACCAAGACAUGAAAAUUUCACUUUUGCCUUAGAGGACUACAUACAGAAUUCUGAGAUGAUGUGGGAAGAAAGAUCACCGAGCUAUUUCAGAUCCUGUAAAUUGAAGGUUGUUUCAUAUCCUGCAGCCGAAAUAACAUAAAGCAAAAGCAGUAAAAUUAUAAUUAGACCGUCUAAGUUAAAUAGGUAAAUGUGCAGCGAGAAUGUUGAAAAAACAAAGACGCCGCUCAAAUCCCCUCGUAUCCACAAAUUCACAAGCUAACUGCACAUUAUAGGAAGUACUUUGCAUUGAGGAAAAAUGAUAAUUGCUUCGAUAGUUCGGUAGACGCAAAAUUUUAUGGAUAUUUGCUCACAUAUCUAAAUGCCAUGCUUCUUGUGCUUCAUAUGUAGCUAAAAUUCCUUGUGAUGUUUUCUAGAACAAGGAACAAAUCAUGUUUCUUGUGGGCCUUGAGAACUCAAAUGUAAUAUGUGCCAUUGUCAUCAUGUUUUUCGUAUCCACAAAAUAUAUAGAGUUAACAUAAUAGUAAGAUGGUUUAGUUAUAGUUGGUCGGAUUUGCCUUUAAAUCAAUUUAACACUAUGAAUGACUUGAAAUAGUCUAAUGCUCCAGAUACAGUUUCAUUUGUUGGGAUUGGAAUUCAAAUUAAAGGGAAUAGGAUGUGAGCAUCAAGAAGGUGAGAACAUAUCCUCCAAUUCACAGAUUCACUUAUUUUCUUCAGUAGAGAUAUGUUUCUCAGCUUCUCCAAAUACCAUGUGACAUGAAUUUACGAUUAAAUAUCAUGAGAUCAAGGACAAUGUAAAUCUAGUGUUCAAUGACGUACCUGACAGGAAGGUCAGGGAACUGUACCACCAAGCCCCAUGCCAGUAUAGUUUCUAGCAUCUCGACUCUUUCCCGUGAUAUUGAAAAGCUCGACAUCAAAAUUAAAUAACAUCAAAAAAUAUUUUUUAUCAGGCUUGACUCCAUGAU